GUGGAUUAGAUACCCGGGUAGUCCACGCCCUAAACGGUGCACACUAGGUCUUGGCGGAUUCGACCCCACCAGGGCCCAAGCUAACGCGUUAAGUGUGCCGCCUGAGGACUACGGCCGCAAGGCUAAAACUCAAAGGAAUUGACGGGGGCCCGCACAAGCGGUGGAGUAUGUGGCUUAAUUCGAUGCAACGCGAAGAACCUUACCUAGCCUUGACAUGCAUUAGACUGGACUUGAAAGGGUCCUUUCCUUCGGGACUGGUGCACAGGUGCUGCAUGGCUGUCGCCAACU
RNAcentral lists this ribosomal RNA (288 nucleotides) under uncultured bacterium. RNAcentral describes it as "partial 16S ribosomal RNA". It matches the Rfam family "Bacterial small subunit ribosomal RNA", at positions 773 to 1060 of the family's 1533-position model. The record is from RNAcentral.